This is an RNA transcript of Alexandromys fortis (reed vole), 4732 nucleotides long. It is a transcript of the gene named von Willebrand factor A domain containing 2, with no coding region annotated. The record is from RefSeq and is a predicted model, not a curated record. The transcript has 13 exons. Lineage: Eukaryota; Metazoa; Chordata; Mammalia; Rodentia; Cricetidae.
AUGCCUCCGUUUCUGUGUCUGCCAGCUGUCUGCAUUCUCCUCUUCUACACAGUGUCCCCGUCCAUCUCUCUCCAAGAAUUCUCUGUGAGCAAGGAGACCAUCGGGAAGAUUGCAGUGGCCAGCAAAUUGAUGUGGUGCUCGGCAGCGGUCGACAUCCUGUUCCUGUUAGAUGGCUCUCACAGUGUCGGGAAAGGGAGCUUCGAGAGAUCCAAGCACUUUGCCAUGACCGUCUGUGACGCUCUGGACAUCAGCCCCGGGAGGGUCAGGGUGGGAGCCUUGCAGUUUGGUUCCACUCCUCAUCUGGAAUUCCCCUUGGACUCCUUUUCUACCCGACAGGAAGUGAAGGCAAACAUCAAGGGAAUAACUUUCAAAGGUGGGCGCACAGAGACAGGCCUUGCUCUGAAGAGUCUGCACAGAGGGUUCCCGGGAGGCAGACAUGGUGCUGUGCCCCAGCUCCUCAUCAUCGUCACGGAUGGCAAGUCCCAGGGGCCUGUGGCUCUGCCUGCUAAGCAGCUGAAAGAGAGGGAUAUCGUUGUGUUUGCCGUAGGAGUCCGGUUCCCCAGGUGGGACGAGCUGUUCACCCUGGCCAGUGAGCCAAAGGAGCAGCACGUGCUGUUUGCUGAGCAAGUGGAGGAUGCCACCAACGGCCUCCUCAGCACCCUGAGCGCCUCAGCGCUCUGCACCUCUGCUGAUCCAGAUUGCAGGGUGGAAGCUCACCCCUGUGAGCGCAAGACACUGGAGACCAUCAGGGAACUGGCUGGCCAUGCCCUGUGCUGGAGGGGGUCGAGGCAGGCGGAUGCUGUGCUGGCUGUGCGCUGUCCCUUCUACAGCUGGAAGAGAGUGUUCCAGACACACCCCGGCACCUGCUACAGAACCAUCUGUCCAGGCCCCUGUGACUCCCAGCCCUGCCAAAACGGAGGCACAUGCAUUCCAGAGGGUGUGGAUAAGUACCACUGCCUCUGCCCGCUGGCAUUCGGAGGGGAGGUCAACUGUGCCCCGAAGCUGAGCCUGGAAUGCCGGAUCGACAUCCUCUUCCUGCUGGACAGUUCUGCGGGCACCACCCUGGAGGGCUUCCUGCGGGCCAAGGCUUUUGUGAAGCGCUUCAUGCAGGCCGUGCUGAGUGAGGACUCUCGCGCCCGUGUUGGGGUGGCCAGUUACAGCCGGGACCUGACAGUGGCCGUGCCUGUCGGGGAGUACCAGGAUGUGCCAGACCUGGCCAGGAGCCUUGACGGCAUCCCCUUCCGUGGCGGCCCAACGCUGACCGGCAGUGCCCUGCUGCAGGUGUUAGAGCAUGGCUUUGGGAGUGCCAGCAGGACAGGCCAGGACAGACCACGCAGAGUUGUGGUCCUGCUCACCGAGUCACACUCCCACGAUGAGGUGGCCGGGCUGGCAGAUCACGCAAGGGCCCGGGAGCUGCUCCUCCUGGGCGUGGGCAGUGAGAUGGUGCAGGCGGAGCUGGAGGAGAUAACCGGCAGCUCGAAGAAUGUGAUCGUCUACACGGACCCUCAGGACCUAUUCAGCCAGAUCCCGGAGCUGCAGAGGAGGCUGUGCAGCCAGCCACGACCAGGCUGCCAAGCACAGUCACUGGACCUGGUGUUCCUGCUGGAUGCCUCUGCCUCCGUGGGACCUGAGAACUUCGCACAGAUGCAGGCGUUCAUCAGGAAAUGCACCCUCCAUUUUGAUGUGAACCCUGAUGUGACACAGGUGGGCCUGGUGGUCUAUGGCAGCCAGGUGCAGACAGCCUUCGGACUGGACACCCAUUCCACCCGCGCCGCCGUGUUGCGGGUCAUGAGCCAGGCUCCCUACCUAGGGGGUGUGGGGUCUGCUGGAACAGCCCUGCUGCACAUCAACGACAAGGUGAUGACCAUCCAGAGGGGCGCCCGCCCUGGUGUCCCCAAGGCUGUGGUGAUGAUCACAGGUGGGAGUGGGGCGGAAGAUGCAGCUGUCCCUGCCCAGAAGCUGAGAAGCAAUGGCAUCUCCGUCUUGGUUGUGAGCGUGGGGGCUGUCGUCAGGGAGGCUGUGCGGAGGCUCGCUGGUCCCCGGGACUCCCUGAUCCAUGUGGCAGCUUAUGCAGACCUACGGUACCAUCAGGACGCACUCACUGAGUGGCUAUGUAGAGAAGCCAAGCGGCCAGUCAACCUCUGCAAACCCAGCCCAUGUAUGAAUGAAGGCACCUGUGUCCUGAAGAACGGCAGUUACCGCUGCGAGUGCCGAGGUGGCUGGGGAGGCCCCCACUGUGAGAACCGUGAGUGGGUUCCUUCUGCGAGUGUGGAUGGGGAUGGUCUCCGUCGUCCUGCCAAGUCCUACAGACUCAGCAGAAGGCAGGCUGUCCUAUUCAGUCAUCUGCCCGUCCCCUAGGAAACAUGUGGAAGGGUCUUCCAUGUCCCAGACAUUCUUUUCUAGGGUCGGAGAUGCAGGGCGAUGGCUGAGACAGAAGAUCUGCCCUGUGGAGCUUCCAUUCUAGUGUGCAGUACAGUGCAGCGGUGGCAUUGGGAGGAGUCAGGUGCCCUGGAAACAGCAUGACAGCGGGGAGGGAAACGCAGAGCAUAGGGACAGUAUUGGAGGUGGAACCAGAGACAUGCGGGUGAGUAGACACAGGGACAGUAUUGGAGGUGGGACCAGAGCAUAGGGACAGUAUUGGAGGUGGGACCAGAGACAUGCGGGUGGGUAGACACAGGGACAGUGUCAGAGGUGGGACCAGAGACAUGCGGGUGGGUAGACACAGGGACAGUGUCAGAGGGGGGACCAGAGACAUGCAGGUGGGUAGGCAGUGUGGCAGCCGCUGCCCAUUCUUGAGUAUCUCCAUUUGUUUGGUGACAUACGGGAACAGCCUGCUGGGUGGGGGCGAGGUGCUGGAGCCUUAAGAGGAAAGGUGCCAUAAGGGAGAGCCAGAUAACAGGCCUGGGGGGACAGCAGCACCCGAGCCUCCUACAUCAGGCAGAAAUCAAGACAACCCCAAGUUAUGGGUUUUCAGCCCUCGGUGCACAUUGGCUUCCAACGGCCAAGGAGGAGGCAUGGGUGGUGGGGUGGAGGUCUGACCUGGCAUCUUUCACUCAGGGGAUUGAGUUGUGGAGUGAAAAGGACAUGAAGUAGCCAUUGGCUGAGGGGAAGACUCAAGCACCCUCAAAAUUCACUUUCUUUCCCAGGCAUCUUGAGAGGCGAUGCUCCCAUGGCAGAGCCCACAAGAAGACAGCAGCCAACCCCCUCCCAGCAAGCUCCCGGGCAUCUCAGGAUCUGAAAGACACUGUAUGGCCCAGUAUACCUCCUGGGGUCCUGGAACAGCUGCUUCCAGCUCUAAGCAGCGCUGUCCUGCCCACAAGCCUCUGCCACAGAGAACUUUGCUGCUUGGGACGUUGGAAACUCCUAACGUGUCAGUAUUGAUGUCCUGGAUCUGCUGGUCACUUUUCUAGAGGAUAAGAAAGAGGUCAGGGGAAUUUGAUGGCCUGUUUGGGGGUCAUUUUGACCAUCGCAAAUGCUAGACAGAAUGCUGGAAAGGUUGCAGUGCCCAGAGGAAGGCGUCCGACAGAGUGUACCAUGUGAUGGUAUUGACACAAAACGUGGGCUUCUCCAUUUUCCAAAGAUAGCUUGUGGAUUUAGCUUGAAAAAGGAUUUUGUGGCAUUUGUGACUUUUUCUGGUGAUCAGAUCUGCAUGUGGGAAAGACAUUAGGAAGGUCUCAGACAGCAAUCUGACCAUUUAUAACCAGUCUGAGUAUACAGACGGGGCAUAGUGUACAAACGGCUCUGGUCUCCCUGUGUGGUUGGUCUGGGUGCUGCGCAGGAAGACCUCCAGGGGGUUUCCUUUCAGAGAUUAUUAGAGAGGCGAGUGGUACGGGGGUCCUCUUUUUAGUGGUGGCAAUGAAGGGCAGACUUCACAAACUCGGUCGGCCAUUAAGGAGUGAAGGGGUAACGAGGAGGUUCUCUUUGAAAGCUUAUUGGAUUGCUUUGUCUUACAUGCUUCUCCCGCUCAGUCACUGGUGUAUGUGGAGUAGUUGUGUCUGUGUGGCCGAGAGGACUCUUUGAGCACCUAACUCUGCAGCGCUAACGUGUGCUGUUGGGAGCUGGGCUGCCAGCGGCAGCAUGGAGCGCUCUGAAGCUGCAGACAGCCUUUGAGAAGCAUGGGUAAUGUCAUGAUGCGAUGCGUACGACAUAAGCUCCCACUGUGAGAGGUCCCCACCAUUACAGGUGUAGAGAACCUUGUCGGGGUUCUGUGCGCCAAGUCUGUCUGGCCGAGACGCUACUUCUCUCUCCAGGUUUGCGCUGUGAUUCCCCCAGCCACAUUUAGACUGCGGAUACGGACAGUUCCAUAUUGUUACAUUUCAAUCAUUGAACCGAUCUUCUGGCUCCACGGAUAAGGUCUGGUUUGCAGUAUGUAGACAUUUUUCUAUCGGAGCAGUGCUAACUUUCAUCCUGUUGCAUCCAUGAUCUUCUCAGCAGUGUCUGUAUUUAAGGCUUCCCUGUCAAUUCUGCUUUUCCGUCUGCUUUGGUAGCGUGUUCAAGGAGUCAGAAUUUGGUCUUGUUGAUUUUUAAGUAGAAAAUAAAUACAUUUAUGUUCUAAAUUUCCUUAAUCAUUGCAUAGGCAGCUUUUUACACAUCGGUAUGUUUCUUCUCUCCAAGAGUUUCCUGUUUAACAUCCAGAGGUUUGGUUUCCAAUUGUAUGCAUGACAUUAGCUCCCUUGAGGCAUUUCCUGUGUAUUUGGUACCUUAUCGAUUAUACAGAAAUUAACUCAGAACU